Podarcis muralis (Common wall lizard) is the source of this 732-nucleotide long non-coding RNA. RefSeq lists it as uncharacterized. The record is from RefSeq and is a predicted model, not a curated record. NCBI's taxonomy places the organism in Eukaryota, Metazoa, Chordata, Lepidosauria, Squamata, Lacertidae.
CGCAGGGGCUCUCCCCAAUCCGCUCGUAGCCCCCCGUGCUCACCCCGUGGCUGUGGGGGGAGCCCGACUGGUGCAGAAGGACAUCCCUGUUUUCAUCAGAGAAAUGUGGAGAAAUGGAGAAAUUGAGUUCUGCUGCCCCAAAGCCAAGGGGAGAAGACCCGGAGAAAUUCGGUAUCCUCAGCGAAGGAUACCAAUAGGAUCCGGUCCCAAGAGGAUCCGGGGUGGGUGGGACGACGCCACUUUCUCCAUCCCUCCAUUGUUCCUGCUCUCUGCUUCCUGCUACUGAAUCCAUUCCUGAUCCACACGAGGAAUACCCUCUUACUCCCUGACUGCUGAGCCUACUCAGGAGUCAUGGGCGAGAUUUUGUAAAAGGCUCUUUAAACAGUCGAGCGGUAUAUAAAUCUUAGGAAAUAAAUAAGAGGGAUUUCAAAAUGCGAGGAGACGGGGAGAGAUGCUUCUCCGUGGGCCGCGGAAGUGGGAAGAGGACCCGCCUGCACCUGGCGCAGGAACCCGAAAGCGAGGGGACUCUCCUGCCGCCCAGAUUCUUCCCGAAGUCUCCUGGCUGCUGCUCCGCCUUUUUCUUCGGAGUUGAUAGUAUUAAUAUUUCCAGAUGGGAAGUAACCAUUACGAUUUGGCUGAAGCGUUGUCUAUUAAGAAAAUCCAGGGAUCCAAUGUAUCUGUGUGGAGUUUUUCAUUGAUGCUGAAAAACAAUAAAAUUCGAUUAUAUCUAGA